Molecule: ribosomal RNA, 253 nt
Filed under: uncultured bacterium
Lineage: Bacteria
Description: partial 16S ribosomal RNA
Rfam family: Bacterial small subunit ribosomal RNA
Source: RNAcentral
UACAGAGGGUGCAAGCGUUGUUCGGAAUUAUUGGGCGUAAAGGGCGCGUAGGCGGUGCCACAAGUCACCUGUGAAAUCUCCGGGCUUAACUCGGAGCCUGCAGGCGAAACUGUGGUGCUGGAGUGUGGGAGAGGUGCGUGGAAUUCCCGGUGUAGCGGUGAAAUGCGUAGAGAUCGGUAGGAACACCAGUGGCGAAGGCGGUCUCCUGGGGCUAACUUGACGCUGAGACGCGAAAGCUGGGGGAGCGAACGGG